AGAAGCUAGACUGAGCUGCUUGCAAGUGCCUCAAGAAGAAUCACACUUCAGGUUAUGGCAUGCAGCCAGUUCUGUGCCUGGGGCUCUCACCAGGAGUAUCUGAAACCCUGACAAGAAAUAUCUGGCUCUUCACAGCAGACUGACGAAGAUGGAUGUGAUACAGAGGUCUGGGAAUUCUCUAUCUCAUCUUAUACAUUGCCAUAUACUCGUAUAUGCAGGUAUGCAGGUGUGAAAGUAGAGCCACUGAGCCAGAUCCCCAUGGCCUUGAUCCACCCAGGACUUUUUAAUGACGUGUUUAUCUUUAAUGAGAUAAAUGUGACCUUCUCAUGGAAAACUUUCUUCACAAUCAUUCUUCAGCAAUCUAAUGGAACUAUCCUUUCUAUCUAAACAGAAAAGAGUCUCAUCAGGAAAUUUACAAUAGAGGCUGGUGAUUUCAGCAUUUCUACAUCUACUCUGGGAUCCAUCCCUCAUAUCUCCUGCCUUUUAAUUCACAUGCUCGUUUCACAGUUCAAAAACUAUCCUCAUUUCUUGUUCAACUUUAAGAGGCACAAGUCGUUUCUGUCAAGAGGUGCACUUCUAGCAGAAAAAAAUAUAUAGUGUUAAAUCAGUUUCUUGUAAUGAAACCUGAGGACAACGUUGUGUUUGAUUCUCAAACUAGCAAAGAUACAUUCAGUCACACACAGCAUUCUAAC
Molecule: long non-coding RNA, 692 nt
Organism: Gallus gallus (chicken)
Lineage: Eukaryota; Metazoa; Chordata; Aves; Galliformes; Phasianidae
Source: Ensembl